This 231-nucleotide ribosomal RNA is filed under the name uncultured bacterium. Its description in RNAcentral is "partial 16S ribosomal RNA". It matches the Rfam family "Bacterial small subunit ribosomal RNA", at positions 338 to 587 of the family's 1533-position model. The record is from RNAcentral.
CCUACGGGGGGCAGCAGUGGGGAAUAUUGCACAAUGGGGGAAACCCUGAUGCAGCGAUGCCGCGUGGAGGAAGAAGGUUUUCGGAUUGUAAACUCCUUUAUCAGGGACGGUAAUGACGGUACCUGAAGAAAAAGCUCCGGCUAACUACGUGCCAGCAGCCGCGGGAAUACGGAGGGAGCGAGCGUUGUCCGGAAUUACUGGGGGUAAAAGGAGCGGAGGCGGGGCGGGAAG